This 330-nucleotide ribosomal RNA is filed under the name Triticum aestivum (bread wheat). RNAcentral describes it as "partial small subunit ribosomal RNA". The record is from RNAcentral. Lineage: Eukaryota; Viridiplantae; Streptophyta; Magnoliopsida; Poales; Poaceae.
AUGGGUGACUAUCUAGCACUGUUCAGAGAGCACAUGUAUGUAGUCUGCGCUGGUGAAUGGAAGCCCCCGCCGCAAAAAGUAAGCGGCUCUUCCCAUGGCUCUGUCACCAUUGACUCUAUUCAUUAUUAUGGUAAAUCAUUGUAUCAAGAUGUCAAUCUUAGAUCUUAUUUUAGUUCGAUACGUCCACCUACGAAACUCGCCCUUGGCUUUCGUCUCGGUAGGUGUAUUAUUCUACAUUUUCCCAAAAGGACAUUCAUUCAUUUCUUUCUUCCCGGGCGAUCACCACGACUAAAACGAAAACAAGACAAGAAAUCAAGACCCGUACUAUAG